AUACGGAGGGUGCAAGCGUUAUUCGGAAUCACUGGGCGUAAAGGACGCGUAGGCGGGUUGGCAAGUCAGAUGUGAAAUCCUACAGCUUAACUGUAGAACUGCAUUUGAAACUGCUAACCUAGAGUAUGAGAGGGGGAGAUGGAAUUAGUGGUGUAGGGGUAAAAUCCGUAGAUAUCACUAGGAAUACCGAAAGCGAAGGCGAUCUCCUGGAACAUAACUGACGCUAAGGCGUGAAAGCGUGGGGAGCAAACAGCAUUAGAAACCCUAGUAGUCC
RNAcentral lists this ribosomal RNA (274 nucleotides) under uncultured bacterium. RNAcentral's name for it is "partial 16S ribosomal RNA". It matches the Rfam family "Bacterial small subunit ribosomal RNA", at positions 523 to 796 of the family's 1533-position model. The record is from RNAcentral.